CCUACGGGAGGCUGCAGUGGGGAAUAUUGGACAAUGGGCGCAAGCCUGAUCCAGCCAUGCCGCGUGUGUGAAGAAGGCCUUCGGGUUGUAAAGCACUUUCAGCGAGGAGGCGUUACUCGCAGAAGAAGCACCGGCUAACUCCGUGCCAGCAGCCGCGGUAAUACGGAGGGUGCAAGCGUUAAUCGGAAUUACUGGGCGUAAAGCGCACGUAGGCGGUUUGUUAAGUUGGAUGUGAAAGCCCCGGGCUCAACCUGGGAAUUGCAUUCAAGACUGGCAAGCUAGAGUAUGUGAGAGGGGGGUAGAAUUCCAAGUGUAGCGGUGAAAUGCGUAGAGAUUUGGAGGAAUACCAGUGGCGAAGGCGGCCCCCUGCCAAUACUGACGCUCAGGUGCGAAAGCGUGGGGAGCAAACAGGAUUAGAUACCCUUGUAGUC
Molecule: ribosomal RNA, 431 nt
Filed under: uncultured bacterium
Lineage: Bacteria
Description: partial 16S ribosomal RNA
Rfam family: Bacterial small subunit ribosomal RNA
Source: RNAcentral